This 253-nucleotide ribosomal RNA is filed under the name uncultured bacterium. RNAcentral describes it as "partial 16S ribosomal RNA". It matches the Rfam family "Bacterial small subunit ribosomal RNA", at positions 524 to 776 of the family's 1533-position model. The record is from RNAcentral.
UACGUAGGGUGCGAGCGUUGUCCGGAAUUAUUGGGCGUAAAGGGCUCGUAGGCGGUCUGUCGCGUCGGGAGUGAAAACUCAGGGCUUAACCCUGAGCCUGCUUCCGAUAUGGGCAGACUAGAGGUAUGCAGGGGAGAACGGAAUUCCUGGUGUAGCGGUGAAAUGCGCAGAUAUCAGGAGGAACACCGGUGGCGAAGGCGGUUCUCUGGGCAUUACCUGACGCUGAGGAGCGAAAGUGUGGGGAGCGAACAGG